Molecule: long non-coding RNA, 755 nt
Organism: Acyrthosiphon pisum (pea aphid)
Lineage: Eukaryota; Metazoa; Arthropoda; Insecta; Hemiptera; Aphididae
Exons: 3
Source: RefSeq, a predicted model, not a curated record
CUUGAAUUUAUAAAUAUGAUAAUUUUUUUGGAAAUUGCACAUUGACCUACAAAUAAUUGUUGUAUUACCAAUUUCUUGAAGGUCUCAUUGUGGAAAAUUUAUUGUACGAGAAACGUACUCACACUACACAUGGUCCUGACAUGAACUAUUUAGCCCUAGUGACUUUAAAGCAGAGUAUUUUACGUAGGUGCGUGGAAGAAUGUACCCCACUUCGAGUGAUUUAUGAAGAAGAAACGUCAAGAUCACAAGGGUUAGAAGAUCGCCUAGAGUAUACUUCUCUUUUGAGAACCAUGGAAAGGACUAGAGCUGCAGCGCUACCAAAAAUACCAGGUGAUCUGAUGGAAUACGCAGGUAAUCUGAUAGAUGCUCGCUGAGUUCGUCUAUUCAGAACUGCUAAUGGACGAGCAAUGUUCAGAUGGUUUGUCAUGGGUCCUCCUGACGCUGGACCAACAUUCGUUUUUAUAUCUCUAUCCCUGGAAAAGUAAUUAGUUUUAACUGUCAAGAACAUAAUGUUAGAAUAUAAAUCUUCUCCUCGGUAUAUUCAACAUGUAUCUUAAUUUAAACAAUUUUUAGCCUAUUGACUGCUGCUCAAGAACUUCAUAUAGAUGCCACGUUUAAAAGCAGGCCCCUUGUUCCACAAACAGAACAACUGUUGAUAAUUAUAGCCAUGUACAUGGACCAGGCAUUUCCCGUUGCAUACGCAUUAAUGACCCGCAAUACUGAAAUGGCGUACACUAGUGUAUUGGACCAUAUUA